Molecule: long non-coding RNA, 676 nt
Organism: Dromaius novaehollandiae (emu)
Lineage: Eukaryota; Metazoa; Chordata; Aves; Casuariiformes; Dromaiidae
Source: Ensembl
CCUCAGCAUUAAAACAUUUUUUUUUCCCCUAAGAAUGCAGAGGACAGUGUGGAAACACGCUGGAGGACAACUGCUAAGAGAAUAAAUAAGCUACUGGAGAAUUUUGUAAAAGGCUCAACGGAUCAGAACACUUCUGACAAAGUGGAUCAAGAGUGUGACGGCUCAGGCCUACAGGAUCUUCUUCUGUUCCUCAGACUGGUGUCUACAUGAAACAGCCUCCAAAAACGGCAGUUUUCUCUGGACGAGGAUUGUCCAUGGAAGAAGGCCUUAUAGCACUCUCAGACAGCCUGUUGAGGAGGAAGAAUUUUGGAUAGAUAAGAAGAUCCACAAUAUUUUAGCAGAUGUGAUAAAAUUUCAUGGGUGAGGAGGUGGGAUAACUGGACUAUUCUAAUUCUUGUAUUGAAAUUUCAACUGUCAAAGACCCAGAACUAUAACUCUCAGCAAACCAGUCCAUGUGAAGCACUCACUGGUCUUGAUGGAGCUGAUUUUCACUCUGAAUAUAUUGAGUAAGAUUUCCAAAAGCAGUCAGCGUUGGUCUAGCUGGCCUAAAUAACUUCAGUGAAAGAUCACCAUUGACUUCAAUGGGAAGAGUUGAGUUAAUAUUAAGUGUUUUUCAAAGUCCCAUCAUUUUAGCUCUUAAAAUAAAACAUCAAUCCAAAGAAAGAUAAAAUGAGAA